AGUGAACGCUGGCGGUAGGCCUAACACAUGCAAGUCGAACGGCAGCACAGUAAGAGCUUGCUCUUACGGGUGGCGAGUGGCGGACGGGUGAGGAAUACAUCGGAAUCUACUUUUUCGUGGGGGAUAACGUAGGGAAACUUACGCUAAUACCGCAUACGACCUACGGGUGAAAGCAGGGGAUCUUCGGACCUUGCGCGAUUGAAUGAGCCGAUGUCGGAUUAGCUAGUUGGCGGGGUAAAGGCCCACCAAGGCGACGAUCCGUAGCUGGUCUGAGAGGAUGAUCAGCCACACUGGAACUGAGACGGGGUCCAGAGUCCUACGGGAGGCAGCAGUGGGGAAUAUUGGGCAAUGGGCGCAAGCCUGAUCCAGCCAUACCGCGUGGGUGAAGAAGGCCUUCGGGUCGUAAAGCCCUUUUGUUGGGAAAGAAAAGCAGCAGGUUAAUACCCCGCUGUUCUGACGGUACCCAAAGAAUAAGCACCGGCUAACUUCGUG
This 492-nucleotide ribosomal RNA is filed under the name uncultured bacterium. RNAcentral describes it as "partial 16S ribosomal RNA". It matches the Rfam family "Bacterial small subunit ribosomal RNA", at positions 29 to 507 of the family's 1533-position model. The record is from RNAcentral.